Molecule: long non-coding RNA, 1184 nt
Organism: Homo sapiens (human)
Lineage: Eukaryota; Metazoa; Chordata; Mammalia; Primates; Hominidae
Product: long intergenic non-protein coding RNA 2326
Source: Ensembl
UUUAGGUAUCUAAAGUAAAUGGCCUUAUGUAUAAUCCUGAAUUAUAAGUCAUUGCAAAAGAAUCAGGCUUGUGGCUACUUCUCUGACAGAGCCAAACUCUCCAAUUCAAUUAUUCUGAGCAAAACAAACAAGGAGGGGGACCCUCUUACGGAUUAAAGACCUCUUUGUGAUAUGACUGGCCCAAUUCAAUUGCCUAAGCAUCACGUAGAAACAAUAGUUCAAUACUUCAAAGGAUGGCUGAAGAGGAACAGCCCCAGUCUGCAGCGCCCAGGGAGACCAACGCAGAAGGCAGCUGAUUUACAGAGAUAGACUGCAGAAGGGCAAGAGUGAAAGCAGAAAAUAUUGCUAGUAUAUAACUCCAGGUGCUGAGUGGAAAGCCCACACUCCAGAAGCUCAUUAAAAGGGCCAAGUUACAGUACAGGUUUAUUUCUGUCACAGCGUUUCUGAAAACAGUGACAAGGAUUAAUAUGUUUCUUUAGUACUGGAAAAAACCUGACACAAUCCCUUGUGAAUUUGAUCAUCUGUUUCAUUGCCUGUAUAAGAUUCAAUCUCCUAUUAUAUCCUAAAGUUACAGCUGUAAACUAAGGCUGGUAAGAAUUCAUAAGCUAUUGCAGAAGCCUGCGGCAAAACUAAUUGUUUUAUUCAACAGUCACUUGUUUAUUUAUUAUUUAUUUCAUACUCCCCUCCUAUAAUCCUUUUCCACUCUCCUUCCUCAAAGUCAAGAUUAUCUUGGUUCGUUGCCUGAAUGCACAGAGCAAAUACAGAAACGGGGAGCCCUAUUCCAGGAGUUCUCAAAAAAGUUCCUACGGAUCAGUGUUUUGUGGAAAUACCCAUUCUAAAUGUUUUAUAAAAAUAUUCUUACUCUCCUUUGAUUGGCAUAAAAAUUCCUUGCUAAAAAGCAAUAUUUGCACAAAUAUUAUAACCUUUGUUUUCUGUGUCAUCAUGUGACAUUAAGCUUUAUUUGCUAGUGGUUGCUAUGUGUCUGACACAUGAUUUGCCAUGUGGUACAUGUAAAUCACAGCAAAGUGCAAAGUAUAUUAUAAAACAAUUCUGUUUUACAUCAAAUUAGAUAGGCAAAUAUCUAUUCGCUAUUUUCAAAAAUUAAAAUGCAAUAUGCUAUAUAGAUACUGUAAAACAAAUAAUAUUUAACAUUGAGAAAGCUCUCUCUCUCUUUCCUUCUCCUC